CCUACGGGUGGCUGCAGUAAGGAAUAUUGGACAAUGGCGGAGACGCUGAUCCAGCUAUCCCGCGUGCAGGAUGAAGGACCUAUGGUUUGUAAACUGCUUUAGACUGGGGCGAAAAAGUGGGAUUUAUCCUACAUUGACGGUCCCAGUAAAAUAAGCACCGGCUAACUCCGUGCCAGCAGCCGCGGUAAUACGGAGGGUGCAAGAAUUACCCGGAAUCACGGGUGCGUAAGCGUGCGUAGGAGUCAGGCUAGAAAGGCCACGGCUUAACCGUGGGAUUGCUUUUGAUACUGGCGAGCUUGGAUUAGGACGAGGUUGGCGGAAUGUGGCAAGUAGCGGUGAAAUGCAUAGAUAUGCCAUAGAAUACCGAUUGCGAAGGCAGCUGACUAGACCUAUAUUGACGCUGAGGCACGAAAGCGUGGGGAGCGAACAGGAUUAGAUACCCUUGUAGUC
This 450-nucleotide ribosomal RNA is filed under the name uncultured bacterium. RNAcentral's name for it is "partial 16S ribosomal RNA". It matches the Rfam family "Bacterial small subunit ribosomal RNA", at positions 338 to 795 of the family's 1533-position model. The record is from RNAcentral.